Molecule: long non-coding RNA, 496 nt
Organism: Mus musculus (house mouse)
Lineage: Eukaryota; Metazoa; Chordata; Mammalia; Rodentia; Muridae
Product: predicted gene, 35579
Exons: 4
Source: RefSeq, a predicted model, not a curated record
CAUGAUUAACACAGGGAAGAGAGCUUCAGUCAGCUCAGGCGCUUGCUCUCAGUUCUUCAGUGUGAUGACCUCCCAAGUUGAGAGGACAGUUGCUGUGUCAUUUCUUGGACUAACAGACAGAUGUGUCACAUUAGCAGAAUGGGGACUUCCUUUGCUGUCACUGAGUUGUUCUAAUUGCUUGGUUUACUGUCCCAUAAGUAUUGCUGUGGAAUGGAAAGGGAGCGUCUAUGGAAUAUGGGGAGAAGGAUAGAGUAUUCACUCUAUUGCUGUUAAGCAAACACUUACCAAAAUGGAGAAGCUGGGAGCAAAACUGAAGAUCCUGGCUGCCCAAUACUCAGGGUUUAGUUGCAGGUGAAUCUUAUUGGAAGAAGAACAGGCCAUGAGGCCACUGGAAGUUCAUUAGAAUAAUUAGAUUAAGGAGAGAACAGAGAAGAUAUAAAAAGAAGAUUCCAAACUUUCGAUUUGAAGCCCGAAGAUUCUAGAAUAGGAAAGUCUU